AGUGAACGCUGGCGGUAGGCCUAACACAUGCAAGUCGAACGGCAGCACAGGAGAGCUUGCUCUCUGGGUGGCGAGUGGCGGACGGGUGAGGAAUACAUCGGAAUCUACUCUGUCGUGGGGGAUAACGUAGGGAAACUUACGCUAAUACCGCAUACGACCUACGGGUGAAAGCAGGGGACCUUCGGGCCUUGCGCGAUUGAAUGAGCCGAUGUCGGAUUAGCUAGUUGGCGGGGUACAGGCCCACCAAGGCGACGAUCCGUAGCUGAUCUGAGAGGAUGAUCAGCCACACUGGAACUGAUACACGGUCCAGACUCCUACGGGAGGCAGCAGUGGGGAAUAUUGGACAAUGGGCGCAAGCCUGAUCCAGCCAUACCGCGUGGGUGAAGAAGGCCUUCGGGUUGUAAAGCCCUUUUGUUGGGAAAGAAAUCCAGCUGGCUAAUACCCGGUUGGGAUGACGGUACCCAAAGAAUAAGCACCGGCUAACUUCGUGCCAGCCGCCGCGGUAA
RNAcentral lists this ribosomal RNA (506 nucleotides) under uncultured bacterium. Its description in RNAcentral is "partial 16S ribosomal RNA". It matches the Rfam family "Bacterial small subunit ribosomal RNA", at positions 29 to 523 of the family's 1533-position model. The record is from RNAcentral.